UGAAAGGGCUGCCCCUCAAGGCCCAACGUCCAGCACAUUCCUGCCCGCCUUUCCUGGACAGAUUAUAUCAGAACCAGCUGAGUGAGACCAGAGGGAGAGGGGGCAGGGAUGGAAGGUGCCUCAUCUUGGGGCCACAAAGCAAGCUCGGGCAGGGGGCAGGGUUCAGACCACAGAAAUUUUCCUGCAGGGUUUGGUUCAAGACAAUUCUCUCCUCUGUGGCUGUUGAAUAUCAAGACCAAGCUUACAAAAUGAUGCUGCCAAAUUCCAAGCGGUCAUACAGAUGGAGCCAACGACAAAUAUUCUAGACUCCUUUUACCAGGAUCCACCAGAUAACCUUGUAAAAAAGUUCAUAGCUGCUGAACUACAAUAUGACUUCUAUCUGAGGCCUAGUAAAUCAACUUUCCAGAGAAGGCCUCUAACUGCUCACAUCAACUCUUCUCAGCUUGAAGCAGUUAGAUAAAAACUAUGCUCUUUCUUCUCUAACUGAAUUUAGGAAUACUUUAGAGGAGGAAAUAUUGCAGACAGCUAAGUUAGUUAGAAAUUAUAAGGCAGUUCCCUUAGCAUAAAAAAUAAUUGAGGUACAUUCAGUGAAGGUUAACACCCACAUACUUCCCUUAGGGAUGAAUAGCAGUGAUUGAUAUUCUAAAUAGACUUCAAUCAUUUUAACUGGAGACAAAACCAUCCCUAGCUACCCCAUUCCUUCCAGGAAAUUCAGGUACACUUGCUACAUGACUAGCUUCCCCAUUUGAUCUCCAUUUAAUCAAUAUUACCUGGGCAAGUGUGAGACCAAAGCAACUCCAUUUUGCUAAAAUCCACCAUUCCCCUAGCCUCUCAAAUUAAUGGUUAAAAUGUGUUUGCUCUGGAACAAAAGAUACAAUCUGUAACAAACCAAAGUUCCUAAGUUAAUUACUCAGCCAUCUGUUUAACCAGGAAAUGAACAUCCUGGGCCCGCUAUCUGUAGGAACCGUCUGUCAAUGUGCUGACUGUCAGUGCUGGGUGGUCGUGACCAUUAGUCACCAUGUCUGCUGACCAUCAAUACGUGACAGUUGCCCACUAACCUUUGUCCUUCUUUUCUUUUGUAAAACCUAUACAUAAUCCCCCCUUACCCCUGAUGAGUUCAGCCAAUCAAAAAUGUACACUUCAUGCUCGCUUAAUGUUAACCAAUCAUGUAACUGCUAAGUGGAAAAUCUCCAAACCUUGCUGUAACCUCUAUAAAAACCCUGCUAAUUUGGAACUCGGGGCUCUCAAUCUCGAUCCGCUGUGUCGGUGACAAUUGAGAGUCCCUGCUUAAGCUUGAAUAAACGACCCUCAUGUGCUUACAUCGGAAACGGCCUCCUGGUGGUCUUUGGGACCUUACAAUCUGGGCACAACA
Molecule: long non-coding RNA, 1372 nt
Organism: Heterocephalus glaber (naked mole-rat)
Lineage: Eukaryota; Metazoa; Chordata; Mammalia; Rodentia; Bathyergidae
Source: Ensembl